This 77-nucleotide transfer RNA is filed under the name Klebsiella pneumoniae. RNAcentral describes it as "tRNA-Val". It matches the Rfam family "tRNA". From Rfam's summary of the family: Transfer RNA (tRNA) molecules are approximately 80 nucleotides in length. Their secondary structure includes four short double-helical elements and three loops (D, anti-codon, and T loops). Lineage: Bacteria; Pseudomonadati; Pseudomonadota; Gammaproteobacteria; Enterobacterales; Enterobacteriaceae. The record is from RNAcentral.
GCGUUUAUAGCUCAGUUGGUUAGAGCACCACCUUGACAUGGUGGGGGUCGUUGGUUCGAGUCCAAUGAAACGCACCA